Molecule: ribosomal RNA, 479 nt
Filed under: uncultured bacterium
Lineage: Bacteria
Description: partial 16S ribosomal RNA
Rfam family: Bacterial small subunit ribosomal RNA
Source: RNAcentral
GACGAACGCUGGCGGCGUGCUUAACACAUGCAAGUCGAACGAUGAACCCGGAGCUUGCUCCGGUGGAUUAGUGGCGAACGGGUGAGUAACACGUGAGUAACCUGCCCUUGACUCUGGGAUAACUGCGGGAAACUGUAGCUAAUACCGGAUACGACCCUCGGCGGCAUCGCCAGGGGGUGGAAAGAAUUUCGGUCAAGGAUGGACUCGCGGCCUAUCAGCUUGUUGGUGAGGUAACGGCUCACCAAGGCGACGACGGGUAGCCGGCCUGAGAGGGUGACCGGCCACACUGGGACUGAGACACGGCCCAGACUCCUACGGGAGGCAGCAGUGAGGAAUUUUCCGCAAUGGGCGAAAGCCUGACGGAGCGACGCCGCGUGAAGGAUGAAGCUUUUCGGAGUGUAAACUUCUUUUAUGUGGGAAGAUUAUGACUGUACCACAUGAAUAAGGACCGGCUAACUACGUGCCAGCCGCCGCGGUAA